RNAcentral lists this ribosomal RNA (165 nucleotides) under uncultured bacterium. RNAcentral's name for it is "partial 16S rRNA". It matches the Rfam family "Bacterial small subunit ribosomal RNA", at positions 355 to 512 of the family's 1533-position model. The record is from RNAcentral.
UAGGGAGUCUUCCACAAUGGACGAAAGUCUGAUGGAGCAACGCCGCGUGAGUGAAGAAGGUUUUCGGAUCGUAAAGCUCUGUUGUUGGUGAAGAAGGAUAGAGGCAGUAACUGGUCUUUAUUUGACGGUAAUCAACCAGAAAGUCACGGCUAACUACGUGCCUAG